AGUGAACGCUGGCGGUAGGCCUAACACAUGCAAGCCGAACGGCAGCACAGUAAGAGCUUGCUCUUACGGGUGGCGAGUGGCGGACGGGUGCGGAAUACAUCGGAAUCUACUUUUUCGUGGGGGAUAACGUAGGGAAACUUACGCUAAUACCGCAUACGACCUACGGGUGAAAGCAGGGGAUCUUCGGACCUUGCGCGAUUGAAUGAGCCGAUGUCGGAUUAGCUAGUUGGCGGGGUAAAGGCCCACCAAGGCGCCGAUCCGUAGCUGGUCUGAGAGGAUGAUCAGCCACACGGGAACUGAGACACGGUCCAGACUCCUACGGGAGGCAGCAGUGGGGAAUAUUGGACAAUGGGCGCAAGCCUGAUCCAGCCAUACCGCGUGGGUGAAGAAGGCCUUCGGGUUGUAAAGCCCUUUUGUUGGGAAAGAAAAGCAGCAGGUUAAUACCCCGCUGUUCUGACGGUACCCAAAGAAUAAGCACCGGCUAACUUCGUG
Molecule: ribosomal RNA, 492 nt
Filed under: uncultured bacterium
Lineage: Bacteria
Description: partial 16S ribosomal RNA
Rfam family: Bacterial small subunit ribosomal RNA
Source: RNAcentral